Molecule: ribosomal RNA, 251 nt
Filed under: uncultured prokaryote
Description: partial 16S rRNA
Rfam family: Bacterial small subunit ribosomal RNA
Source: RNAcentral
ACGUAGGGGGCGAGCGUUGUCCGGAAUUACUGGGUGUAAAGGGAGCGUAGGCGGGGAGACAAGUCGGAUGUGAAAACUAUGGGCUUAACCGAUAAAGUGCAGUUGAAACUGUAUUUCUUGAGUGCAGCAGAGGAAGGCGGAAUUCCUAGUGUAGCGGUGAAAUGCGUAGAUAUUAGGAGGAACACCAGUGGCGAAGGCGGCCUGCUGGCCUUUAACUGACGCUGAGGCUCGAAAGUGUGGGGAGCAAACAG